Molecule: long non-coding RNA, 572 nt
Filed under: Gossypium raimondii (Peruvian cotton)
Lineage: Eukaryota; Viridiplantae; Streptophyta; Magnoliopsida; Malvales; Malvaceae
Description: long non-coding RNA (GRAI_LNC006071)
Source: RNAcentral
CCCCAUUUUGUUGUUUACCAAUCGGCUUUAUAGCCGAAAGAAAAUAAAAAUGCCAUCUUUGCUAUUGUCCUCUGUUUUUUUGCUUCUGUCUUUUUGCUUCUGUUUUUGCAGGAGUAGGUGCGGCGUCAGAGAGCAGGUGGCUGAAGGGACGUGUGCGGCGGCCAGCAGAGCUAGGGGAAGAGGGCUGCAGCGCUAGGGUUUGCUUAAACGUUUUAGGGGUUUUGGGCUAAUUGGGCUUUUAAUUUUUUGUUUUUUUGGGCCUGUUAUUUUGUUAGGUUAUUUGGGUUUGGGGCGAAAUGGGCUUGUACACUUUUAAUUUUUUGAGCAAUUUAAUUUUUUUAUUUCUUUAUUUUCCUUUUUUUCUUCCCUUUUAUUUUUCUCUCUCCUCAUAUUCUUCACUGCAGAAGCAUAAUCUUUGCCCAACAAAUAAAUCAAGUCAUUGUUUCUUUUACAUGAUUCCUAAAUUGAAUUUCACUCAGAACUGAAUAUCAAUCAUUCUUAAUCAAAUCUCGACUUGAAUAUAACCCACUUUUAAAAAUAAAAUUGGAUCUAACUAAUCAAUAUAAAAAAUC